This 468-nucleotide ribosomal RNA is filed under the name uncultured bacterium. RNAcentral describes it as "partial 16S ribosomal RNA". It matches the Rfam family "Bacterial small subunit ribosomal RNA", at positions 28 to 507 of the family's 1533-position model. The record is from RNAcentral.
GACGAACGCUGGCGGCGUGCUUAACACAUGCAAGUCGAACGGAAAGGUCCUGCUUUUGUGGGGUGCUCGAGUGGCGAACGGGUAAGUUACCCGUGAGUAACCUGUACCUGACCUUGGGAUAACUUAAGGAAACUGGAGCUAAUACCGGAAAGGAGUUACCGCUGCAUGGUGGGGGCUGGAAAGUUUCGGCGGUUGGGGAUGGACUCGCGGCUCAUCAGCUUGUUGGGGGGGUAGUGGCUUACCAAGGCAUUGACGGGUAGCCGGCCUGCGCGGGUGACCGGCCACAUUGGAACUGAGAUACGACCCAGACUCCUACGGGAGGCAGCGGUGGAGAGUGGUGUACUAUGGGCGGAAGCCUAAUGCAGCAACGCCGCGUGCGGGGAGUCAUGCUUCGGUUUGUGUUCCGAAGUCGCCUUUGACGAAGCGAGAGUGACAGUAAUGGGUAAAUAAGCACCGGCUAACUACGUG